This 486-nucleotide ribosomal RNA is filed under the name marine sediment bacterium ISA-6177. RNAcentral describes it as "bacterial SSU rRNA". It matches the Rfam family "Bacterial small subunit ribosomal RNA", at positions 37 to 503 of the family's 1533-position model. The record is from RNAcentral.
UGGCGGCGUGCCUAAUACAUGCAAGUCGAGCGAAUGGAUUAAGAGCUUGCUCUUAUGAAGUUAGCGGCGGACGGGUGAGUAACACGUGGGUAACCUGCCCAUAAGACUGGGAUAACUCCGGGAAACCGGGGCUAAUACCGGAUAACAUUUUGAACCGCAUGGUUCGAAAUUGAAAGGCGGCUUCGGCUGUCACUUAUGGAUGGACCCGCGUCGCAUUAGCUAGUUGGUGAGGUAACGGCUCACCAAGGCAACGAUGCGUAGCCGACCUGAGAGGGUGAUCGGCCACACUGGGACUGAGACACGGCCCAGACUCCUACGGGAGGCAGCAGUAGGGAAUCUUCCGCAAUGGACGAAAGUCUGACGGAGCAACGCCGCGUGAGUGAUGAAGGCUUUCGGGUCGUAAAACUCUGUUGUUAGGGAAGAACAAGUGCUAGUUGAAUAAGCUGGCACCUUGACGGUACCUAACCAGAAAGCCACGGCUAACUA